CCUACGGGUGGCAGCAGUGGGGAAUAUUGGGCAAUGGAGGCAACUCUGACCCAGCAACGCCGCGUGAAUGAUGAAGGUCUUCGGAUUGUAAAGUUCUGUGAUGGGGGAUGAACACAAUGACGGUACCCCAAUAGCAAGCCAAGGCUAACUACGUGCCAGCAGCCGCGGUAAUACGUAGGUGGCAAGCGUUAUCCGGAAUGACUGGGGGUAAAGGGUGCGUAGGUGGUUUAGUAAGUUGGCGGUGAAAUUCAGGGGCUCAACCCAGACGCUACCGCCAAAACUAGUAGACUAGAGUGCAGGAGAGGUAAGUGGAAUUCGUAGUGUAGCGGUGAAAUGCGUAGAUAUUAGGAGGAACAUCAGGGGCGAAGGCGACUUACUGGACUGUAACUGACACUGAGGCACGAAAGCGUGGGGAGCAAACAGGAUUAGAUACCCGUGUAGUC
This 443-nucleotide ribosomal RNA is filed under the name uncultured bacterium. Its description in RNAcentral is "partial 16S ribosomal RNA". It matches the Rfam family "Bacterial small subunit ribosomal RNA", at positions 338 to 795 of the family's 1533-position model. The record is from RNAcentral.